GACGAACGCUGGCGGCGUGCCUAACACAUGCAAGUCAAGGACUGUAGCAAUACAGGACUGGCGCACGGGUGCGGAACACGUAGGUAAUCUGCCCUUUAGGGGAGAACAACCAGCCGAAAGGUUGGCUAAAUCUCCGUAACAUCACGAUGUGGCAUCACAUUGUAAUCAAGUUUUCUAAAGGAUGAGCCUGCGUCUGAUUAGCUAGUUGGUAGUGUAAUGGACUACCAAGGCUUCGAUCAGUAGCUGGUCUGAGAGGAUGAUCAGCCACAUUGGGACUGAGACACGGCCCAGACUCCUACGGGAGCAGCAGUGAGGAAUAUUGCACAAUGGACGAAAGUCUGAUGCAGCAACGCCGCGUGA
This 360-nucleotide ribosomal RNA is filed under the name uncultured bacterium. RNAcentral describes it as "bacterial SSU rRNA". It matches the Rfam family "Bacterial small subunit ribosomal RNA", at positions 28 to 404 of the family's 1533-position model. The record is from RNAcentral.